Long non-coding RNA from Chinchilla lanigera (long-tailed chinchilla), 429 nucleotides. RefSeq lists it as uncharacterized. The transcript is spliced from 3 exons. Lineage: Eukaryota; Metazoa; Chordata; Mammalia; Rodentia; Chinchillidae. The record is from RefSeq and is a predicted model, not a curated record.
GAUGUGAAGAGGUGAAAGGCAGACUUCCGGGAAGAUGGCAGAGCAGUAACCAGCAACAAGUCACCCUCUCCAAGAUUCAGAAUCCAGACACUGGAAAAUAAUGACAUGGGGAAGAAAGGAAGGAGAGAGGUGGAUCCCCAGGACCCGGGAAGGAUCUGCUUCUAAAAUUACAUCCUAAAGUGCUACAUCUUGGAAGACAGCGGAGGGAUUGCUCUAUUCCAGUGUCUGGACACCAAAUCUCAGAGAGGCUGUUUCUCUGCUGCUCCCCACGCCAUCAUCUUCCCAGAAGCUGCUACAGUCACUGGAGCCGGCACAUGUGACUUCCGGAUCUUCCCUAAAGUCAAAAUGAUGAAGACAGAUAAACCGUUUGAAUCCAUUAAAGAUAUCAAGCAGUCAUGACAGUGCAACUAAAGACACAACAGAGGUCUU